Taeniopygia guttata (zebra finch) is the source of this 749-nucleotide non-coding RNA. The record is from RefSeq and is a predicted model, not a curated record. NCBI's taxonomy places the organism in Eukaryota, Metazoa, Chordata, Aves, Passeriformes, Estrildidae.
CGGGAGCGCGGGCUGGAGCGGCGGGAGCGGGGCGCUCCUGCUCCGCCGUGCCCGCGCCGCCUGCCGACGCCUGGCGCCGGAGAACCGGGCUCUGUUCGCCACCACAGCGGGCAUGGCUCAGCAGGACUGCUUCACCUGCCUACCUCACCACAUCCUACACCCGCUUUGGGGUCCCGAGCUUUGACGGUGCGCUUGCUUGCGCUGUAGUGGAUGCUAAAUACCGUGACUGCUCUUUCUUAGUGCGAGGGUUCUAAAGGUCUGGUCCUACAGCGAGGCAGCAUCAACAUUUGCACUUCAUACAUUUCUGUCUCUGUAUGCCUUCCUGCCUGCCACUCUGUUUGCCAUGCAAACACAAGUGGCAGAAGUCUCAAGAAUAUUUGAAUUUUUUUCAAACUUGAAAAGUAGUCAACCACGUGAAUGUCCCGCAAAGAGGAAGCUUGCAAUGUAAGCCGGUUUUAAAGCUGACCACCUCUGAGCCACAAACAUAGACUUUCUUGUCACCAGCUCACAGACCUCUUUGUAUCCUAAAAUGAUAGAAUGGUUCGGGUUGGAAGACACUUUAAAGAUCAUCUAGUUUGAAACCCCCUGCUGUUAGCAGGGACACUUUCCUCUACACCAGGUUGCUUAGAGCUCCAUCCAACCUGGCCUUAAACACUUCCAGGGAAUGGACAUCCACAACUUCUCUGGACAAUCUGUUCCAGUGUCUCACUACCCUCACAAUAAAGCAUUUCUUCCUAAUAUAUAACCUG